GGUUAAGCGACUAAGCGUACACGGUGGAUGCCCUGGCAGUCAGAGGCGAUGAAGGACGUGCUAAUCUGCGAUAAGCGUCGGUAAGGUGAUAUGAACCGUUAUAACCGGCGAUUUCCGAAUGGGGAAACCCAGUGUGUUUCGACACACUAUCAUUAACUGAAUCCAUAGGUUAAUGAGGCGAACCGGGGGAACUGAAACAUCUAAGUACCCCGAGGAAAAGAAAUCAACCGAGAUUCCCCCAGUAGCGGCGAGCGAACGGGGAGCAGCCCAGAGCCUGAAUCAGUAUGUGUGUUAGUGGAAGCGUCUGGAAAGGCGCGCGAUACAGGGUGACAGCCCCGUACACAAAAAUGCACAUAUUGUGAGCUCGAUGAGUAGGGCGGGACACGUGGUAUCCUGUCUGAAUAUGGGGGGACCAUCCUCCAAGGCUAAAUACUCCUGACUGACCGAUAGUGAACCAGUACCGUGAGGGAAAGGCGAAAAGAACCCCGGCGAGGGGAGUGAAAAAGAACCUGAAACCGUGUACGUACAAGCAGUGGGAGCACGCUUAGGCGUGUGACUGCGUACCUUUUGUAUAAUGGGUCAGCGACUUAUAUUCUGUAGCAAGGUUAACCGAAUAGGGGAGCCGAAGGGAAACCGAGUCUUAACUGGGCGUUAAGUUGCAGGGUAUAGACCCGAAACCCGGUGAUCUAGCCAUGGGCAGGUUGAAGGUUGGGUAACACUAACUGGAGGACCGAACCGACUAAUGUUGAAAAAUUAGCGGAUGACUUGUGGCUGGGGGUGAAAGGCCAAUCAAACCGGGAGAUAGCUGGUUCUCCCCGAAAGCUAUUUAGGUAGCGCCUCGUGAAUUCAUCUCCGGGGGUAGAGCACUGUUUCGGCAAGGGGGUCAUCCCGACUUACCAACCCGAUGCAAACUGCGAAUACCGGAGAAUGUUAUCACGGGAGACACACGGCGGGUGCUAACGUCCGUCGUGAAGAGGGAAACAACCCAGACCGCCAGCUAAGGUCCCAAAGUCAUGGUUAAGUGGGAAACGAUGUGGGAAGGCCCAGACAGCCAGGAUGUUGGCUUAGAAGCAGCCAUCAUUUAAAGAAAGCGUAAUAGCUCACUGGUCGAGUCGGCCUGCGCGGAAGAUGUAACGGGGCUAAACCAUGCACCGAAGCUGCGGCAGCGACACUAUGUGUUGUUGGGUAGGGGAGCGUUCUGUAAGCCUGUGAAGGUGUGCUGUGAGGCAUGCUGGAGGUAUCAGAAGUGCGAAUGCUGACAUAAGUAACGAUAAAGCGGGUGAAAAGCCCGCUCGCCGGAAGACCAAGGGUUCCUGUCCAACGUUAAUCGGGGCAGGGUGAGUCGACCCCUAAGGCGAGGCCGAAAGGCGUAGUCGAUGGGAAACAGGUUAAUAUUCCUGUACUUGGUGUUACUGCGAAGGGGGGACGGAGAAGGCUAUGUUGGCCGGGCGACGGUUGUCCCGGUUUAAGCGUGUAGGCUGGUUUUCCAGGCAAAUCCGGAAAAUCAAGGCUGAGGCGUGAUGACGAGGCACUACGGUGCUGAAGCAACAAAUGCCCUGCUUCCAGGAAAAGCCUCUAAGCAUCAGGUAACAUCAAAUCGUACCCCAAACCGACACAGGUGGUCAGGUAGAGAAUACCAAGGCGCUUGAGAGAACUCGGGUGAAGGAACUAGGCAAAAUGGUGCCGUAACUUCGGGAGAAGGCACGCUGAUAUGUAGGUGAAGUCCCUCGCGGAUGGAGCUGAAAUCAGUCGAAGAUACCAGCUGGCUGCAACUGUUUAUUAAAAACACAGCACUGUGCAAACACGAAAGUGGACGUAUACGGUGUGACGCCUGCCCGGUGCCGGAAGGUUAAUUGAUGGGGUUAGCCGCAAGGCGAAGCUCUUGAUCGAAGCCCCGGUAAACGGCGGCCGUAACUAUAACGGUCCUAAGGUAGCGAAAUUCCUUGUCGGGUAAGUUCCGACCUGCACGAAUGGCGUAAUGAUGGCCAGGCUGUCUCCACCCGAGACUCAGUGAAAUUGAACUCGCUGUGAAGAUGCAGUGUACCCGCGGCAAGACGGAAAGACCCCGUGAACCUUUACUAUAGCUUGACACUGAACAUUGAGCCUUGAUGUGUAGGAUAGGUGGGAGGCUUUGAAGUGUGGACGCCAGUCUGCAUGGAGCCGACCUUGAAAUACCACCCUUUAAUGUUUGAUGUUCUAACGUUGACCCGUAAUCCGGGUUGCGGACAGUGUCUGGUGGGUAGUUUGACUGGGGCGGUCUCCUCCUAAAGAGUAACGGAGGAGCACGAAGGUUGGCUAAUCCUGGUCGGACAUCAGGAGGUUAGUGCAAUGGCAUAAGCCAGCUUGACUGCGAGCGUGACGGCGCGAGCAGGUGCGAAAGCAGGUCAUAGUGAUCCGGUGGUUCUGAAUGGAAGGGCCAUCGCUCAACGGAUAAAAGGUACUCCGGGGAUAACAGGCUGAUACCGCCCAAGAGUUCAUAUCGACGGCGGUGUUUGGCACCUCGAUGUCGGCUCAUCACAUCCUGGGGCUGAAGUAGGUCCCAAGGGUAUGGCUGUUCGCCAUUUAAAGUGGUACGCGAGCUGGGUUUAGAACGUCGUGAGACAGUUCGGUCCCUAUCUGCCGUGGGCGCUGGAGAACUGAGGGGGGCUGCUCCUAGUACGAGAGGACCGGAGUGGACGCAUCACUGGUGUUCGGGUUGUCAUGCCAAUGGCACUGCCCGGUAGCUAAAUGCGGAAGAGAUAAGUGCUGAAAGCAUCUAAGCA
This 2762-nucleotide ribosomal RNA is filed under the name Escherichia coli. RNAcentral's name for it is "partial 23S ribosomal RNA". It matches the Rfam family "Bacterial large subunit ribosomal RNA". Lineage: Bacteria; Pseudomonadati; Pseudomonadota; Gammaproteobacteria; Enterobacterales; Enterobacteriaceae. The record is from RNAcentral.